RNAcentral lists this microRNA precursor (76 nucleotides) under Plutella xylostella (diamondback moth). Its description in RNAcentral is "microRNA pxy-mir-8546 precursor". Lineage: Eukaryota; Metazoa; Arthropoda; Insecta; Lepidoptera; Plutellidae. The record is from miRBase by way of RNAcentral.
UUCCAUGGCUGUUGGCGAACUGUCAGUUCUGAUUGAUAAGUCAGGCUCGAGGUGGCUCGUCUAACUGUCCAUGUUC